Molecule: ribosomal RNA, 1213 nt
Filed under: uncultured Bacteroidota bacterium
Lineage: Bacteria; Pseudomonadati; Bacteroidota
Description: bacterial SSU rRNA
Rfam family: Bacterial small subunit ribosomal RNA
Source: RNAcentral
CUGGUACUGAGACACGGACCAGACUCCUACGGGAGGCGGCAGUGAGGAAUAUUGGACAAUGGAGGCAACUCUGAUCCAGCCAUGCCGCGUGCAGGAAGACUGCCCUAUGGGUUGUAAACUGCUUUUAUACAGGAAGAAAUAUGCCUACGUGUAGGUAUUUGACGGUACUGUACGAAUAAGGAUCGGCUAACUCCGUGCCAGCAGCCGCGGUAAUACGGAGGAUCCAAGCGUUAUCCGGAAUCAUUGGGUUUAAAGGGUCCGUAGGCGGUCUUUUAAGUCAGAGGUGAAAUCCUACAGUUCAACUGUAGAAUUGCCUUUGAUACUGAAAGACUUGAGCUAUUGUGAAGUAGUCAGAAUGUGUGGUGUAGCGGUGAAAUGCAUAGAGAUCACACAGAAUACCGAUUGCGAAGGCAGAUUACUAACAAUAUACUGACGCUGAGGGACGAAAGCGUGGGUAGCGAACAGGAUUAGAUACCCUGGUAGUCCACGCCGUAAACGAUGGAUACUAGCUGUUCGACCAACAUUGGUUGGUUGAGUGGCUAAGCGAAAGUGAUAAGUAUCCCACCUGGGGAGUACGGUCGCAAGACUGAAACUCAAAGGAAUUGACGGGGGCCCGCACAAGCGGUGGAGCAUGUGGUUUAAUUCGAUGAUACGCGAGGAACCUUACCAGGGCUUAAAUGUAAGUUGCAUGAUUUAGAGAUAGAUCUUUCUUCGGACUACUUACAAGGUGCUGCAUGGUUGUCGUCAGCUCGUGCCGUGAGGUGUCAGGUUAAGUCCUAUAACGAGCGCAACCCCUGUCGUUAGUUGCCAGCAAGUUAAGUUGGGCACUCUAGCGAGACUGCCAGUGCAAACUGUGAGGAAGGUGGGGAUGACGUCAAAUCAUCACGGCCCUUACGUCCUGGGCUACACACGUGCUACAAUGGUCGGUACAGAGAGCAGCCACUACGCGAGUAGGAGCGAAUCUAUAAAACCGAUCUCAGUUCGGAUCGCAGUCUGCAACUCGACUGCGUGAAGCUGGAAUCGCUAGUAAUCGGAUAUCAGCCAUGAUCCGGUGAAUACGUUCCCGGGCCUUGUACACACCGCCCGUCAAGCCAUGGAAGCUGGGAGUACCUGAAGUCGGUUACCGCAAGGAGCUGCCUAGGGUAAAACUGGUAACUGGGGCUAAGUCGUAACAAGGUAGCCGUACCGGAAGGUGCGGCUGGAUCACCUCCUU